RNAcentral lists this ribosomal RNA (467 nucleotides) under uncultured bacterium. Its description in RNAcentral is "bacterial SSU rRNA". It matches the Rfam family "Bacterial small subunit ribosomal RNA", at positions 28 to 507 of the family's 1533-position model. The record is from RNAcentral.
GACGAACGCUGGCGGCGUGCCUAACACAUGCAAGUCGAGCGGGGAUUGUGGAGAGCUUGCUCAAAACAAUUCUAGCGGCGGACGGGUGAGUAACGCGUGAGCAACCUGCCUAUCACAGGGGAAUAACGCACCGAAAGGUGUGCUAAUACCGCAUGAGACCACAGGACCGCAUGGUCAAGGGGUCAAAGAUUUAUCGGUGAUAGAUGGGCUCGCGUCUGAUUAGCUGGUUGGUGAGGUAACGGCCCACCAAGGCGACGAUCAGUAGCCGACCUGAGAGGGUGAUCGGCCACAUUGGAACUGAGAAACGGUCCAAACUCCUACGGGAGGCAGCAGUGGGGAAUAUUGGGCAAUGGGCGCAAGCCUGACCCAGCAACGCCGCGUGAAGGAAGAAGGUCUUCGGGUCGUAAACUUCUAUCCUUGGUGAAGAUAAUGACGGUAGCCAAGAAGGAAGCCCGGCUAACUACGUG